GGAGAGAAAAUAUGUUGAUAUGGAUUAAGGUAUCAUUCACCAUCGCUUUAUUGUUUUUACUAUUCUAUUUUUAAACUCAGAAGGAGGCACCGUUGAUGAUGUUAGUGGCUAAGAUGGCAACAAUAAUAAUAAUAGCAUAUCAACUAGGGUUAAAUAUGGAUCGAAUUCGAUUGGAUUGAGAAAAAAAUUUUAUCUGAUCAAAUCCAAUCAUAUUGAAGAAAAUUCAAUCUACUGC
This 235-nucleotide long non-coding RNA is filed under the name Elaeis guineensis (African oil palm). RNAcentral's name for it is "long non-coding RNA (EGUI_LNC006214)". Lineage: Eukaryota; Viridiplantae; Streptophyta; Magnoliopsida; Arecales; Arecaceae. The record is from RNAcentral.